This 705-nucleotide ribosomal RNA is filed under the name uncultured archaeon. RNAcentral's name for it is "bacterial SSU rRNA". It matches the Rfam family "Archaeal small subunit ribosomal RNA", at positions 1 to 718 of the family's 1478-position model. The record is from RNAcentral.
UUCCGGUUGAUCCCGCCGGAGGCCAUUGCUAUCAGGGUUUGACUAAGCCAUGCGAGUCGAGAGGUGUAAGACCUCGGCAUACUGCUCAGUAACACGUGGUUAACCUGCCCUAAGGUGGAGCAUACUCCCGGGAAACUGGGGCUAAUUCUCCAUAGUGGAUGUAUCCUGGAAUGGUAUAUCCUCGAAAGAUCCGUCGCCUUAGGAUGGGACUGCGUCCGAUUAGGUUGUUGGCGGGGUAACGGCCCACCAAGCCAUUGAUCGGUACGGGUUGUGGGAGCAAGAUCCCGGAGAUGGAUUCUGAGACAUGAAUCCAGGCUCUACGGGGCGCAGCAGGCGCGCAAACUUUACAAUGCGAGCAAUCGUGAUAAGGAAACCCUGAGUGCCUGUCGAUGCAGGCUGUUCAUAUAUCUAAAUCAUAUGUGAAGAAAGGGCAGGGCAAGACCGGUGCCAGCCGCCGCGGUAAUACCGGCUGCUCGAGUGAUGGCCACUAUUACUGGGUUUAAAGCGUCCGUAGCUUGACUGUUAGGUCUCUUGGGAAAUCUUCGCGCUCAACGUGAAGGCGUCUAAGAGAUACCGGCAGUCUUGGAACUGGGAGAGGUAACCGUACUUCGGGGGUAGAGUGAAAUCUUGUAAUCCUCGAGGGACGACCUAUGGCGAAGGCAGUUUACCAGAACAGCUUCGACAGUGAGGGACGAAGCUGGGGGA